Molecule: unclassified non-coding RNA, 306 nt
Filed under: plant metagenome
Description: partial contains 5.8S ribosomal RNA, internal transcribed spacer 2, and large subunit ribosomal RNA
Rfam family: 5.8S ribosomal RNA (bases 1-104)
Source: RNAcentral
AAAUGCGAUAAGUAAUGUGAAUUGCAGAAUUCAGUGAAUCAUCGAAUCUUUGAACGCACAUUGCGCCCGCCAGCACUCUGGCGGGCAUGCCUGUUCGAGCGUCAUUUCAACCCUCAGAACCCCUUGCGGGAUCUGGCGUUGGGGAUUGGCAUCCAGCCAGCCCCGAAAUCUAGUGGCGGUCCCUCCGCGACCUCCCCUGUGCAGUAGCGAUACCUCGCAGCGGGACAGCGGUCUGACCACGCCGUAAAACCCCCAACUUCUCAAGGUUUACCUCGAAUCAGGUAGGAAUACCCGCUGAACUUAAGC